CUUCUCUCUCUCUCUCUCUCUCUCUCUUUCUUUCUUUCUUUCUUUCUUUCUUUCUUUCUUUCUUUCUUUCUUUCUUUCUUUCUUUCUUUCUUUCUUUCUUUCUUUCUUUCUUUCUUUCUUUCUUUCUUUCUUUCCUCUUCUUUCCCAUCCUUUUCAAAACCCUUCCUUCCUUCUUAGAAUCAAUACAGUAUAUUGCCUCCAAUGUAGAACAGUAAGGGCUAGGCAAUGGAGGUUAAGUGACUUUCCCAGGGCCACAUAUCUAAAAAGUAUCUACAGCCAGAUUUGAACUUAGGGCUUUCCAUCUCUAGGCCUAGCUCUCAAUCCACUGAACCAUUUAGCUACCUUCAUAAAACCCUAUUCUAAUAUCUAAUUGUACUAUGAAGAUUAUUGUUGUUUAUCCUUAGUUUUCAAAGAACAAUGAUAUCAUGACUUGAUGUCUUGUCUUGCCCAUGAAUUAGAUUUGUGUGAGGGUAGGGGCAACUGGGUGGCUAAGUGAAUUGAGAGCCAGGCCUAGAGACAGGAGGUCCUGGGUUCAAAUCUGCCCUCAGAUACUUCCUAGCUAGGUGACCCUGGGCAAGUCACUUAACCCCCAUUGCUUAGCCUUUAUCACUCUUCUACCUUAGAAUCAAUAAGAUGGAAGGUAAGGGGGUUAAAAAAAAAAGAUUUGAGUGAGGCAGAGUUGUACAAAGUAGUCAAUUUUAUUAUUUUCCAGAGUCAUCAAAUCAGUGGCAAGAUGAAAGUCAAGACAAACUAGUGAUGGCCCCCAAUUCAGUUGAUGAGCUUGAUCUCUUCAUUGUCUGACCAAGCUCUAAAUGCAUCACAAUGCCUGCCUCAGCUGCCUUCAUGGCCAUCGUUUUUAUCCGCUUAUUCCCCUGGGAGAUGUCUUCAUAUGCUUGGGUAGCACUAUGAAGGUUCCCUGCAUUCUUGAAGGUUGUGCCCACCAUUAGCAAAUUCUGAAGUUUCUCCCAUGCUGGAAAGAGUGUAACUGGUUUCAGGACAGAUUGUGUUUGCUAUGUCAGGACUAGUUUAGUUAAUCACCAGCAGAUUGGCCACUAGAUGAUGAAUUAUUUGCCAAUAACAACCCAUAAAAC
RNAcentral lists this long non-coding RNA (1091 nucleotides) under Monodelphis domestica (gray short-tailed opossum). RNAcentral's name for it is "lncRNA (ENSMODG00000050942.1)". Lineage: Eukaryota; Metazoa; Chordata; Mammalia; Didelphimorphia; Didelphidae. The record is from RNAcentral.